AAAGAAUUAGUUAAAAUAACAUUAAAUUGUCAAUUUAAAAUUAUUAUGUCAAUAAUAUUCUUUU
RNAcentral lists this transfer RNA (64 nucleotides) under Pheidole pieli. RNAcentral's name for it is "tRNA-Asp". Lineage: Eukaryota; Metazoa; Arthropoda; Insecta; Hymenoptera; Formicidae. The record is from RNAcentral.